CGAAGGCUUACGUAGGUCACCUUCGGAGGAUCAUUAUCGAGUAUUGACCGGGUUGUAGCUGGCCUUCUGAGGCAUGUGCACGCCCUGUUCAUCCACUUUACACCUGUGCACUUACUGUGGGCUUCAGAUUGCGAGGCACGCUCUUUACCGGGCUUGCGGAGCAUAUCUGUGCCUGCGUUUAUCACAAACUCUAUAAAGUAACAGAAUGUGUAUUGCGAUGUAACACAUCUAUAUACAACUUUCAGCAACGGAUCUCUUGGCUCUCGCAUCGAUGAAGAACGCAGCGAAAUGCGAUAAGUAAUGUGAAUUGCAGAAUUCCGUGAAUCAUCGAAUCUUUGAACGCACCUUGCGCUCCUUGGUAUUCCGAGGAGCAUGCCUGUUUGAGUGUCAUGAAAUCUUCAACCUACAAGCUUUUGUGGUUUGUAGGCUUGGACUUGGAGGCUUGUCGGCCGUUAUCGGUCGGCUCCUCUUAAAUGCAUUAGCUUGGUUCCUUGCGGAUCGGCUCUCGGUGUGAUAAUGUCUACGCCGUGACCGUGAAGCGUUUGGCGAGCUUCUAACCGUCUUAUAAGACAGCUUUAUGACCUCUGACCUCAAAUCAGGUAGGACUACCCGCUGAACUUAAGCAUAUCAAUAAGCGGAGGA
Molecule: ribosomal RNA, 642 nt
Filed under: Ganoderma lucidum
Lineage: Eukaryota; Fungi; Basidiomycota; Agaricomycetes; Polyporales; Polyporaceae
Description: eukaryotic LSU rRNA
Rfam family: 5.8S ribosomal RNA (bases 237-390)
Source: RNAcentral